AAUGAACGCUGGCGGCGCGCCUAAUACAUGCAAGUCGAGCGAGAAGACGUAGCAAUACGUUUGUAAAGCGGCGAACGGGUGAGGAAUACAUGGGUAACCUACCCUCGAGUGGGGAAUAACUAGCCGAAAGGUUAGCUAAUACCGCGUACGCUCCUUGGACUUCGGUUCAGGGAGGAAAGCGAUACCGUGGGUAUCGCGCUCUUGGUUGGGCUCAUGUCCUAUCAGCUUGUUGGUGAGGAACGGCUCACCAAGGCUUCGACGGGUAGCUGGUCUGAGAGGACGAUCAGCCACACUGGCACUGCGACACGGGCCAGACUCCUACGGGA
Molecule: ribosomal RNA, 326 nt
Filed under: uncultured bacterium
Lineage: Bacteria
Description: bacterial SSU rRNA
Rfam family: Bacterial small subunit ribosomal RNA
Source: RNAcentral